CCGCAGGCCAAUCACCGGGAGCAGGAGGCGGAGACUCGGAUUCGAUAAUCCUACUAUGGUGAAGACGUGGCUUAUGAAUAUUAAAUGAGCAAAAUUGCGUUAAUUCUGAUUGGCUUAAAGGCAGUCGUUGGCAAGGGGACGCUAGUCUGCUGGCCAAUGAGCGAAUCCUACUAUCAGUAUGGCAUGGCUCAUGAAUAUUAAUCAAGGUAAGUGACUGGACGCUCACGGAAGGUUGCCAGGUCGCGUCAUCAAUGUGUCAUUAAUAUUCAUAAGAUGGGGCUUCGCCAUAGUGGGAAUCGAAAAUUCGCUGUCAGGUCGGCCAGUGAUGAAUUGAAUAGGGAAGAAGGAGGAGGAGGAGGAGAAUCCAAUCCGGUUUGAGCAGGUUUUUGUUUCGGACGAGCGUUAACGUGUUCCUAUACUGUGCUCAAGCUUACUGUGUGAAUCUUUAACCGAGCUCAACACACAGUGUCGACUGUUUUUUAGCGUUAAAUCCGUGCAUCUUGCAUUUUUAACCGCUUUGGUUUUUGCGUGUUGUACAAACCCACAACCAUGCCUAAAAGGAGCAAAGCGAACAAUGAUGCUGAAGUCACUGAGCCUAAAAGAAGGUCGGAGAGGUUGGUAAAUAAACCUGCACCCGCAAAGGCAGAGCCUAAGCCAAAGAAGGCGGCUGCCAAGCCUAAGAAAACAAAGGAACCCAAGGAGCCCAAGGAGGAGGAGAAGAAAGAGGAGGUGCCCGCAGAAAACGGAGAAACAAAAGCUGACGAAGAGGCAUCGGCAACAGAAGACACCGACAAGAAGGGAGAAGACGGGGAAUAACUUUGCAGAGGUCUCAUCUUUUACCAGCACUCCCUGUACCUCUUUUCUUGUACAAUUCAGGGGAAUAUUUUUAUCUACUAUUUUCUAAAGGCAGGUUUUUUAGUAGUUUGAUUGUAGAGACACAUUUUUUAUGGAAGAAAAGAAACAUUUUGAAAGUGAUUUCAUCAUAUCCAGCAUUUUUACAUUGGGCAGAAAAAACUACCGUCAUCGUAAAUGUCGACAGGUGUUUUUUUCCCCCCUCUCUGCUCUCGCUUUCAAAGUGUGAGGUAGAGGGGAAGGUUGUGGGCAUGUCGUUUACACAGACAGCUGGACAUCUUACCGAGCUUGUCCGAAUGACUAACAUUCCAUUGGCUCUAUGAGGGAUUUUUUUUGUGUGUGUAUGUGUGUGUGUGUGUGUGUAACCUGUAAUGUGUGUUUGGGGAGGGAGGGGUGGGCAAAUAACUCAUUGUUUAUAAGGCGAAAGAUUACUUGUAGAACGUUUGUAAGCUGUGUUCCAUAUGUUAACUGCAGUUCUCCAUAAUCAUUUCUGCUAAAUAAACAUAUUCUCUAGUACUGGAGUUCA
Long non-coding RNA from Cyprinus carpio (common carp), 1378 nucleotides. The record is from Ensembl. Lineage: Eukaryota; Metazoa; Chordata; Actinopteri; Cypriniformes; Cyprinidae.